AUUGAACGCUGGCGGAAUGCUUUACACAUGCAAGUCGAGCGGCAGCGCGGCCUUCGGGCUGGCGGCGAGCGGCGAACGGGUGAGUAAUGCAUCGGAACAUGCCCAGUCGUGGGGGAUAACACUUCGAAAGAAGUGCUAAUACCACAUACGUCCUGAGGGGGAAAGCGGGGGAUCGCAAGACCUCGCGCGAUUGGAGUGGCCGAUGUCAGAUUAGCUAGUUGGUGGGGUAAAGGCCUACCAAGGCGACGAUCUGUAGCUGGUCUGAGAGGAUGAUCAGCCACACUGGGACUGAGACACGGCCCAGACUCCUACGGGAGGCAGCAGUGGGGAAUUUUGGACAAUGGGGGCAACCCUGAUCCAGCCAUUCCGCGUGAGUGAAGAAGGCCUUCGGGUUGUAAAGCUCUUUCGGCAGGAACGAAACGGUGGGCUCUAACAUAGUCCGCUAAUGACGGUACCUGAAGAAGAAGCACCGGCUAACUACGUG
This 484-nucleotide ribosomal RNA is filed under the name uncultured bacterium. Its description in RNAcentral is "partial 16S ribosomal RNA". It matches the Rfam family "Bacterial small subunit ribosomal RNA", at positions 30 to 507 of the family's 1533-position model. The record is from RNAcentral.